This 3369-nucleotide long non-coding RNA is filed under the name Durio zibethinus. RNAcentral describes it as "long non-coding RNA (DZIB_LNC001396)". The record is from RNAcentral. Lineage: Eukaryota; Viridiplantae; Streptophyta; Magnoliopsida; Malvales; Malvaceae.
AAUCAAAGAUCUAUUUUUUUUUUCCUUAUUCACCUUCAAAAUGAAAAAGUAUUCUUGAAACCGGGAAAACCGGUGAGGAGGAAGAGCUAUAAGAGGGAAUGGAGGAGAAUAAGGAGGAGGUUAAUGCCGUUGAUAGGUAAUCUAUAAAGUAUCAGAAGAAAGCAAAGGUUUGGUGCCAUUGAAGAAGAAGGAAAGAAGCAAAGUUUUUGAAACAAAAGCCCAUUCACGAUGAACUCUCUCAAACUCUUGACAGAAUUGGUGCCGCAAGGAGCGUGAUUUUUGGAGAGAAAUAAAUUUUCUUUUUGUUUUGGCCUUUUUCUUAUUUUUUUUGUUGUUUUGAGGAAUAAUGUGGAUGAGAUUGACAGAAAGAGAAUAAAACUUGGUGAAUUAUUGAGGCAAGGGGGAAGAGGAGGCCAAUAUGAGGGGAAAAAAAAAGAAAACAGGAGAUUUUGGAAGUUGGGUACUGUCUGGAUAUGUAUCCGAAUUAGGUUUAACUAUUUUGGCGGUUAUUAAUUUUUUUUUUUUCACUGGAAGAGAAAAAGGAAAUGAGAUUUUUACAGAUUGAUAUACCUUUUUUUUUUAUGAUAACAUAUUAUUUUUUAUAAAAAUGAGGUUGAAAUUUUACUUUGCGAAAAUGAACUUUUAAAGAAUAAUUUUAUGAAGUUAUUUGAAAAAGAGAUAUAAUAAUUUUGCUAUAUGUAUUUGGUUAAAUUUUAUAUUUGAUUUAUUUAGUUAUAUUUUUUAUUUGUUAAUUAAUUUAUUUGAUUAUUUAUUAAAUUUUUAUAUAAAUAUAAUACUUGAUUAUAAUUAUAAAUUUUUUAGUCAUAAUUUUAUAAAAAGUUGCAAUGCAUUGCCCUUUUUUAAGGUUUUAUAAAAGAAUUUAAUAUAUAUUAAAAAAAUUUUAAUAUACAGUAAUAAAUGUGAUUUUUUAAAUAAAUGCAAGUUAUAUUUGGUUCAAUUGUUGCCUUCUUUGGGGGAUUGAAAUCUAAAUUGAUACUUUCUAAGAUUUGAAUCCCUAUUUCAUUUAUACCUUCCAUAUGUAUCAAAAAUAUUGAAUUCAAAUUAUUCUUCUAAAAAUUAGAAAAAAUAAAUCCAAAUAUCCAAUGGAUAUUAUAUUUAUGGUUAACUAACUUAAAAUUUAUAUAAAAAUAAAAAAUACUAUAUAUUUAAAAAUAUAAUAUAAUAUUUUAUUUUAUAUAUCAACGGAGGAGAUUUAAAUAAUUGAUGGUAUUCUACCAAAACAACUUUGUCAAUUUAUUUUUUUUUAUAAUUCAAUGAACAUGAAGUUUUGGUUUUGUGAUAAGAAGGAGGUUUUAGAAUUUUCGAGUUUUAAGUUCAAGUUUAAUUAUAUUUUAUUUGAUUGUCUAAUUAUGUUUUAUUUUGUUAAUUAAUUAUUUAAUGAUAUAUUAUAUAUAGAUGUAAUAUUUGAUUAUUAUUAUUAUAAUUUAUUUUAUAUUUGUAAUUUAAUAAAUAAUCCAAUAAACACUUAUUAAUUAACAAAACCCAUUUAAAUAGAAUUUAAAACUUCAUGUGAAUGUAUAAAAUGACGGUAAUUUAUACAUGUCAAAACUUAUUGAAUAUAAAUUACACAAAUUUUUUUUUAAUUGUACUUUGAAUUGUUAGGAUUGAAACUCUAAUAGCUAAAACAGAAUCUAGAAUUCUACCGAAUUUUAUUUUCUCUCAUAAACCUCACUUUUCCUUUUGGUCGAAGGACUAAUUAAAUAAAGAAAUCAAUGAUCCAUAAAGAUUGGAUCUAAGUUCACCUCAUCUUAUUAUGCUAUUGGGUGUGAUAUGAAAGGACACAAACCCUUGAUAAAAAAAAAAAAAAAAAAAGAGGACUUGGCAUCACGAUGGGAGGGUUGAAAUUAUUAUAAUCUAAAGCUAGGUUUAUGCACAGUCGAUUUGAUCAAGAGUAGGAUAAGGAGAGAAAAAUUGUAGCCAUAAACAAAUCCCAAGUUCUAGUAGCUGCCUCUUAGAUCUAGGUUUUAGUUUUUCCAUCUAUUAUUGUUUGCUUUAAUAUUAAAAAUCUGAUUUUGUAUCAAAAAAGAAUUUAUAUUUUCUUUUGAUCUUCCAUUUUUCUAUUUUGGUGGGAAAUUUUGUGGUAAUCAUGCAUAGUCUAAUAUAAAAUGAUUAGGUUGGAAAAAUAAUGAUAGUAGCAUGAUAAUGACAAAACCUCAUUGUAAAUGCCAAGGAUAUUUAUUGGUUAAAAGGAUAUCAUAUCCUUUUUUUUAUGUUAACAAUUUUCAACAAAUAAUCAAGGUAAUUUUAAUAUUUAUGUUGAUCUCAUAUAUCAUAUCGAUAUGAUAUUUUCAGUGCUACAUUAAUCUGGAUAAUAUUUUUAUUGUUUCCUAAUAAUUUUUUAUCACUUAUCUAUAAAUAUAAAGGUCUAUAUUAUAUAAAAGUAACACACACUACUCUCUCUUAUCUUUAUUACUUUUUUUUCGACAACAUUGUUUUUGGUUGUGUGUCGAACUACAAAUGUGAAAAAUAUUUUAUGCCUUUACAUAUAAUCAUUCUUCUCUUUUGUUUUCUUAAAAAUAUUUUGAGAUCGAAGCUUAAUACAAACAAUAAUAAUUUUGAUAGUUGGAGAUUCGAUAAAGUUGUAUUUUUUUGUAUAUAAAAAAUUAAGGGAGUGUAUACAAAAAAUAAUAAAAAAUAAUAAAAAAAAGUGUCUUCAAAUACAUAUUGUAAAAUUUUAAAAAUAAAAUUUUAUUAUUUUAUGUUUUCUUAGCAAUCUGGGUAAUAAAGGGUACUUUUAUUUUCAAUUACCUCAAAUGGGAUUUGGUUUAUUCAAUCCAAAGUUGAAUAUUUUCCUUCAAUUUCCCCCUUUCUCUAGCCAACCAAACAGAAAAACUACAACAAGAGAAAAAACUAAAUAGAAGAUAUUGGAUUUUCGAUAAAAUUUGUAUAAAAAUCGCCAAAAGGGUACUUUUUUUAAAAUCAAAGAUCUAUUUUUUUUCCUUAUUCACCUUCAAAAUGCAAAAGUUUUCUUGAAACCGGGAAAACCGGUGAGGAGGAAGAGCUAUAAGAGGGAAUGGAGGAGAAUAAGGUGGAGGUUAAUGCCGUUGAUAGGUAAUCUAUAAAGUAUCAGAAGAAAGCAAAGGUUUGGUGCCAUUGAUGAAGAAGGAAAGAAGCAAAGUUUUUGAAACAAAAGCCCAUUCACGAUGAACUCUCUCAAACUCUUGACAGAAUUGGUGCCACAAGGAGCGUGAUUUUUGGAGAGAAAUAAAUUUUCUUUUUGUUUUGGCCUUUUUUUUAUUGUUUUUGUUGUUUUGAGGAAUAAUGUGGAUGAGAUUGACAGAAAGAGAAUAAAACUUGGUGAAUUAUUGAGGCAGGGGGGAAGAGGUGGCCAAUACGAGGGAAAAAAAA